AUGCUUCCAUUACCCACAGUCCUUUGCCAGAUGGAACUGAUGCCCAGGUAACUGGCUCCUCACCUCCUUCGGGCUUAUACCAAGGAUAUAAAACUUGGUACAGAUGCUCAAGCGUUAAUGCUUCAGGGUGUGACUUUUAAUCCAAUGCUGUAGCUGUGACAACAGGGAAAAACGGAGAACAGAGUUGGAGAAGUCCCAAAGUAAUGAAAGAAGUUAUUUACUGUUGCAAAAUCAAACGACUUAAA
RNAcentral lists this long non-coding RNA (245 nucleotides) under Homo sapiens (human). RNAcentral's name for it is "non-protein coding lnc-EPPIN-1:1". Lineage: Eukaryota; Metazoa; Chordata; Mammalia; Primates; Hominidae. The record is from RNAcentral.